Non-coding RNA from Myotis davidii, 75 nucleotides. Lineage: Eukaryota; Metazoa; Chordata; Mammalia; Chiroptera; Vespertilionidae. The record is from Rfam.
GGCGGUUCUCGGGUGAUGCACACUGGAAUCAGGCUCUCUCCUCUCUGGUUUUGGGUGUGUUACCUGAAACCUGCA